This 333-nucleotide ribosomal RNA is filed under the name Triticum aestivum (bread wheat). RNAcentral's name for it is "partial small subunit ribosomal RNA". The record is from RNAcentral. Lineage: Eukaryota; Viridiplantae; Streptophyta; Magnoliopsida; Poales; Poaceae.
AUGAAUGGAUCAUGUCUAAGUUGGAACAUCAGGGGCUUGAACAACCCGGCUAGAAGAUCAGUUGUGCGAGAUAUGGUCUCGAAUCAUAGAUGCAAUCUUGUAUGCCUGCAGGAAACCAAGUUGUCCAAUAUCUCCAAUGCUAUUGUCUCUGAAACUCUGGGUGCUAGCUUUGUCAACAACUUUGCAUAUCUGCCGGCACUUGGCACCCGAGGUGGUGUACUCAUUGCGGCAUCCUCUGACCACUACACCAUCACCCACAACCUCUGCUUGUUGGAGCUUAUUCCGUCAGUGUGCUUGUUACUGAUCUCGCCUCCAAUGCUGUUUGGUCUUUAA